Molecule: long non-coding RNA, 1825 nt
Organism: Ochotona curzoniae (black-lipped pika)
Lineage: Eukaryota; Metazoa; Chordata; Mammalia; Lagomorpha; Ochotonidae
Exons: 3
Source: RefSeq, a predicted model, not a curated record
UCCUUGAGUAACCUGUUUUCUAACCUUACUAGAUCAUCUCUAAAACAGAUCCCGUAUUUUCAUUCAUAGAGAUUGAAUUUUAUGAGAUAAACAUUUAUGAGGAGCUACCUUUUGUAAGGGUUUUUGUUUCUGGUUUUUUUGGGGGGGUGUAUCUGCUUUUUUUCAAUGUAUUGAUGUUCACUUAUUGGUGGUAGUACCAUUGUUUUGAAUGUGUAAUGUUUAUAUGAGAAAACAAAAAGCUGAUGUAUAGCCCUGUACACAGUGUAGAUACUAUUUUUGUAAAAAAGAAAAACAAAAACAAAAAAACAAAACUGAGGCUAAAUUAAUGAACAAGAAUACUGAAUGUCUCAUCAUUAAAAAUUUCGUGUAUUUCUUGUGCAUUAAUCUGACCAUGAUUUCCCUGUAUAUUAUGUUCAUGUAACUGAGCUUGUAAUUUUCAUUAACUAGAUCAAGUUACCAGCAUUUGUUGGUGUAAGUGAACAUUACAGUUAAUCCUGAGUUGAAUUUAAGCCAAAUAUACAUAAAAAGGGUCUUCAUACUAAUGGAAGAUGAUUUUUAGGUUGUGUGUUAAUUUCAGUUUUGUAUGUUUAACUUUUAUUAAAUAAAGUGUUUUUAAAAUCUCCAGGGUGUGUUAACAGCAUAUGAAUCUUUAGCUGCCUAUGCUGGGAGCGUGGUUAAGUAUUAUACUUGCACAUAGAAUUGCUGUGGCAAAGAAUAUUGAGUGUAUGACAGGUUUCAGUAAAUCCUUAAGCAUUCCUCCAGUAGACAGAAAAUUGUAUCCUAACAGGUGUACCAGUCUUAUUUUCAGGGCUUGUGCUGUCUAUGUUUAUAAAUUAUUGGUGGAGAGGGAAAGUAAUCAUUUGUGAAUGUUACUUUUCUUUUUUUGGUGAUAUAUUGAAAUUUUUAGGGUGGUUGAUGAGGUAUUCUUGCAUCACUUCAUUCCAUUUCAAUGCUCUUUCCUUUUUUUCCUCUAACCAUGUAGGACCAAAAAGGCAUAAUUUGGAUAAAGGACUAUUUAAGCUGUGGAAAUUUACAACUAAAACAUAUUAGUAUUCAUCUUUUUACUAUUGCAACUUUUUUUUAAAAAAAAUAACUUUAUUUGAAUAGCAUAGUUCCAGAGAUAACUUCAUCCAGUGGUUCACUUCCCAAAUGGUUGGGCCAGGCCAAUGCCAGGAGCCAGGAACUCCAUCUGGUCUUUCACAAGGGUGGCAGGACCUCUCCAUAGUUGGGCCAUCAUCUACUGCCUACCCAAGAACAUUUGCUGAAUUAGAAGCAUAAUGACCAGGUCUUCAUCCAGCACCCCAGGGAUUCCAGUAUCAUUACGCCAGCAACCUUAUGGCACAUAUCUUCUCAGCAUGCUAAUAAUCCUUGAAAGACUAAGAAAGUCCUUUGAAUUAAAAAGUUCUGGAGAGUAGGUGUUUAAUCUAGUAGUUGGGACACCAUGUCCCCAGAGUUAAUGCAGCAGUGAUUACUAAAGUGACUUGAGUUCUUGCCAUCCAUGUGGGAGACUCAUAUUGAGUUCCAGCUUAAGUCCUGGCCAGUGGAAUAUUAACUAGCAGAUGAAAAUAUGCUGUCUUCCAAAAGAAAAACAUAAAAAUUGUCGAUGAUAUUUUUAGAAGGACUGUUUUUGAGAGGGGGGGAACUUAGCGUAAUUAUGUGACCCCAGAAAAUAGCUUUUGUUGAUUACCUUAUGUUGAAUUCAACAACAUUUUCCUUGAUGUUCGUAUGCAGUACUGUUACAACUUGUGCCUUGGUUAAUUUUCCUUGGGGAACUUUGCAGUGGGAGAGGGAAAAGGAAUAAAAGUAGCCACGUUAGAGCAUUCAA